RNAcentral lists this long non-coding RNA (705 nucleotides) under Monodelphis domestica (gray short-tailed opossum). RNAcentral describes it as "lncRNA (ENSMODG00000041621.1)". The record is from RNAcentral. Lineage: Eukaryota; Metazoa; Chordata; Mammalia; Didelphimorphia; Didelphidae.
AUAAAUUUAUUUCUGAUUGUCAUAGAUCUCACUGAAGAAGCCCUAUGGCAUCCUGAGAAUUGGUGUAAUCAGCACAGAGUCUUCCAUAAACAGUAAGAUCUGGAGAACAUUAUCCUACAUAGAAAUCUCACUUUCUUUUAAAUUUUUCCCAGGAUAUACUCCAUGGCUCUAGUGAACAACUUUGGCUUCCACAGCUAACAAAAGAAUGAAGAACAUGUCUCAGUUUAACCAACAAUUGUCCAUGCCGGGGAGUUAUAGAACCAUCAUCUCCCUCUUCUUCAAGUAUGAGAUACGUCAGGGAUACAGUGAAACAAGAGGAAAAAAAGACAAUUUUCUAGUAACCUUUGGAAACAUCUAAAUAACCCACACAUCUUUAUGGCUGAGUGACUCCUUGGAUUACGGAAACUUUUGAGCUUAUGUUUGCGAAGACUUCCAUUAACAUCUUUGAGCAACCUCUCAACUCAUUUUAAAACAACGGCAUCAUUCAAUAGAAGCAAAUUUAGCCUCUCCAGUCCUUUCCUCAUCCUGCCAGCUUUCCUAAUCACUCCUAUGAUAUGCUCCUGAAACCCUCAUUCAGGCUCCAAUGGAGAAUUCUCACCCGGAGGUCACAAUGUUCUGGGAGUGGAGGCAGAAGGACCUUUACUGUCUGAGGUUAGAGUCUUAUUUUGGUCUCAUUUAAAAUAAACCAACAUUUCUCCCUCCUCA